RNAcentral lists this transfer RNA (68 nucleotides) under Loxodonta africana (African savanna elephant). It matches the Rfam family "tRNA". Rfam says of the family: Transfer RNA (tRNA) molecules are approximately 80 nucleotides in length. Their secondary structure includes four short double-helical elements and three loops (D, anti-codon, and T loops). Lineage: Eukaryota; Metazoa; Chordata; Mammalia; Proboscidea; Elephantidae. The record is from Rfam by way of RNAcentral.
CUGGGUGUUGCAAAAGGUUAAUGUACUCAGCUGCUAACUGAAAGGCUGUAGGUUCAAAUUCACCCAGA